This 865-nucleotide ribosomal RNA is filed under the name bacterium MPB_JP_a. Its description in RNAcentral is "bacterial SSU rRNA". It matches the Rfam family "Bacterial small subunit ribosomal RNA", at positions 591 to 1447 of the family's 1533-position model. The record is from RNAcentral.
GAUGUGAAAUCCCCGGGCUUAACCCUGGGAACUGCAUUUGAAACUGGCAGGCUUGAGUCUUGUAGAGGGGGGUAGAUUUCCAGGUGUAGCGGUGAAAUGCGUAGAGAUCUGGAGGAAUACCGGUGGCGAAGGCGGCCCCCUGGACAAAGACUGACGCUCAGGUGCGAAAGCUUGGGGAGCAAACAGGAUUAGAUACCCUGGUAUGUCCACGCCGUAAACGAUGUCGAUCUUGGAGGUUGUUCCCUUGAGGAGUGGCUUCCGGAAGCUAACCGCGUUAAGUACGACCGCCUGGGGAGUACGGCCGCAAGGUUAAAACUCAAAUGAAUUGACGGGGGCCCGCACAAGCGGUGGAGCAUGUGGUUUAAUUCGAUGCAACGCGAAGAACCUUACCUACUCUUGACAUCCAGCGAACUUAGCAGAGAUGCUUUGGUGCCUUCGGGAACGCUGAGACAGGUGCUGCAUGGCUGUCGUCAGCUCGUGUUGUGAAAUGUUGGGUUAAGUCCCGCAACGAGCGCAACCCUUAUCCUUUGUUGCCAGCGAUUCGGUCGGGAACUCAAAGGAGACUGCCGGUGAUAAACCGGAGGAAGGUGGGGAUGACGUCAAGUCAUCAUGGCCCUUACGAGUAGGGCUACACACGUGCUACAAUGGCGCAUACAAAGAGAAGCGACCUCGCGAGAGCAAGCGGACCUCACAAAGUGCGUCGUAGUCCGGAUCGGAGUCUGCAACUCGACUCCGUGAAGUCGGAAUCGCUAGUAAUCGUGGAUCAGAAUGCCACCGGUGAAUACGUUCCCGGGCCUUGUACACACCGCCCGUCACAUCCAUGGGAGGUGGGUUGCAAAAGAAGUAGGUAGCUUAACCUUCGGGA